GUGCCAGCAGCCGCGGUAAUACGGGGGGGGCAAGCGUUGUUCGGAAUUACUGGGCGUAAAGGGCGUGUAGGCGGCUUGGUAAGUCAGUUGUGAAAGCCCCAGGCUCAACUUGGGAAUUGCAACUGAAACUGCUUGGCUAGAGUUCAGGAGAGGAAAGCGGAACUCCCAGUGUAGCGGUGAAAUGCGUAGAUAUUGGGAGGAACACCGGUGGCGAAGGCGGCUUUCUGGACUGAAACUGACGCUGAGGCGCGAAAGCCAGGGGAGCAAACGGGAUUAGAUACCCCAGUAGUCC
Molecule: ribosomal RNA, 292 nt
Filed under: uncultured bacterium
Lineage: Bacteria
Description: partial 16S ribosomal RNA
Rfam family: Bacterial small subunit ribosomal RNA
Source: RNAcentral